Molecule: long non-coding RNA, 3083 nt
Organism: Brassica napus (rape)
Lineage: Eukaryota; Viridiplantae; Streptophyta; Magnoliopsida; Brassicales; Brassicaceae
Exons: 2
Source: RefSeq, a predicted model, not a curated record
GUGUAAAUAAGUUAGAAAACUUAGAGUAUUUUUUAAUGGGUACUUCUCUUUUAAUAAUAUAGAUGAAAAAAUAACUGAUAUCUCGCUCUAUAUAUAUGAAUUGGCUUUUCUAAUCUUUCUACAACGUAACAAACAAAAAAUAAAAAUCCAAAGUAGUAAAAUCGUGAUGAAAAAAGAGUUACUGUUCCUGACAAGUUUGAUUGUACUCUGCGUGUUUAUAAGCAGCAUUGAUGCGAAACCAAAGUCUAUUCAUUAUCUAGGUAAAGAUUGUGAUCCGAGAUUUCCCACCGCUGAAUCCAGAAAAAGAUGCUUGAAGAGCGACAGAUGCAGAGGGGGGCCCGAUUCAAUACCUCCGUUGAAGCAGUUUCUUCAAAAGUUUCUCAAAGAGUAAUGUAAACAGAACUAUGAUUACUAAAACAAUUUUACCAAAAAAAAAAUGAUUACUAAAAGACUUUUGGUCAGUAAUUUUGUUUGUUCAGAUUAGUUCCUUUUUUUAACGUCUACACAAACGUAUCAGCUUUGCUUAAAAAAACAAAGUCCGGGCCGGCCCGGCCUGACCCAAAACUGACAAAGCCAUUGUUAUUUGAGUCCAGUGCCCGGGCCGCGUAAUUUAUCAGCCAAUAUUUCAAAGCCCGAUCCGGCCUUAAAACUGUAGGCUUUUUGAACUUUAAAAAAAAUAAGUAAAUUAAAAUUUAAAAUGGAAAUAAAUUUAAUUCCAAAAUUAAAUAAUCUUCCAUGCGUUUUCCAAAAUUAAAAUAAAUUUUACAUAAUAAACCAAAUAAACAGUAAUAACAAAUAGAAAAAAAAUUCAACUCUAAUCAACAAAAAAUGUAGGAUUAAGAUCAGAAUAUUUUUCAUGACCCGACAUUCUUAUCAUAAUCAAAAACUACAUAUAAAAUAUAAAACAUCAAAUUUUUGACAUAAAUAUUAAUAGAAAAUAAAAGUUUUAUAAGUAUUAAUGAAUUACCUAGAUCGUAAAUCAUUCUAACCAAGUAUGUGUCUACAAAUUAGUGUUUCAACAUGUCUUGUUAGGAGAAGACUUCAAUAUUUGUUUAAGACAUGUGCGCUAAUACUAAAUAGACUUUGACACCACUGUACUUAUCAUUUGUUUAAGACAUGAACAUCAAUUUUAUAUUUGUUCAAGACAUGAGCAACAAUGCUAAAUAAUUUAAUAAAGAGCGAAUUGCACAGAAAUUACAUAAAGAUUUGAUAUUUUGCGGAGAUGGAAAAAACGAAAGCCCAUACAUCAGGUCUAUCUCCAGACACUGCGGAAACACCACGGUGCCCCUACUCCUUGUUUUUUUCACGUAAGAAUAUAUAGAGCGAGAGUUUUCUAAUUAUUACAUGUAAUCAUUAAUUAAUAUAUAUAUACAAAAAGUGUAAACAUCCAUGUAGCCUGAGCUGGUCUAACUAUAUCCAUCCAAGGCUGACCAAUACAGUAGCAUUAAACAACGAUACCUUAUGGCUAUUAGUCUAUUACACGAGUACGAUAUACCUUUUCGCUAUCGCAGCUGAGGAUCCAUUUCUGUCUUUUUUUGCAAACUGGUCUCUGCUCUUUUGCAUAUUUUCGGUUUUGACCCCUACAUUACAAUAGUGAAGAUAUCUCCUCAUUUUGUUUUGCCCAAAAGCCAAAACUUCUGGUUACGUACUCCAAACCUAUGUGUAUGCAAAAUGUAUAUAUGCAACUCCCAAUGACAACUAAAUGAAAGAUUUAAAAACAUAAAUGACUAAAAUAGAUGCUUAAUAAUAUACAAAACACUAUAUAUAACUAAUAUUACUUAAAAUAAAUAUUGUCAAGGAUAAAUAUAGAAUAGUCAUAUAAUAAUAAUAUUUUCUGCUAACAAACCUAUUAUCCGGCUUCUAAAAUGUUUGUUGUAGAAAAGAUAGGCUAAAAUCUCUCAAAUCAUCUAAACACUUGAUCCUAAAUAUGUUUGUAAAAAACUUCCAUCAGAUAUACACUCAUAACUCAGAAAAUUUGGCCAGAUGAAACAUUCUAUUUUCAGCUAACAACAAUAUUAGUUGUCAACAGGGUGUGAUACAAUUUUGUAGGAUUGUUUAUAGUAAAUUUUUAUUAGCUAUUUUGAUAUUUAUGUGUAAAUUUUUUAUGAGAAAUUUUUAGAAUAAUAUUUUCAUAUUAGUUGGUCAAUCUAACAUGUGAAAUGCAAUCUUUUCUAUGGAACAUAUGAAAUGUUUAUUGGGCGACGGGUGUAGAUUCAGUAUGAAGGGUUUGGUUACAACCAUUCUGUAUGUACAACAAUACUGUUAUAGAGAAUGUGCAUUUAAAAAGAAGAAAUUAACAUUAAUGUUAGGUGUAUGGAUUAUUGGAUGUACAAGCCUUCAUAUAUUCAGCUAAAAUUAAUAUUACCUAUGAUUUAAAUAACUGUUGGCUGGAUAAAGGUUUUUAAGUACAACAAACACUUUUAUUAGAUGUCGUUUUAAAAAUAGUACAAACUGGAAAAUUCUCGAAAACAAUAAUACACUAAUAUUUACUAUUAUUAUUAUUUGUUAUCUGUUCACAUAGCUUGCUAACAACGUUAUCCAUCCCAUCUAAUAUAAUAUCUAACCGUCUAUUAUAUUUGGUGCUCAUAUAGCUUGUACUAACAAAUAUGUAACUAUCGAAUGACCCACUUGGCUAGAUCGCACGAUUGAAAAAAUCCGGGUUGAUUUGCGAGGAUGUUUCUAUAAAUAUAAAAUGUUUGGGGUCAUAUUGAAAAUAACCAGAACGUCAAGGACAUGUCUUGCAAAAACAUAGAAAGUCACCAUUGGAUAGAUCAACCUUUCUCUUCGGCGGAUCUGGAGCUUGAUGGAGACCACAAGGAUGAGCACGACGGAAAGGCUUGAUUCUGAACAUGACGACGUCGGUAGAGCAAGGCGACUAAAGAUCGGUCGACGAAGGAGUAAAAUGUGUAAAUCUCGCGACGGUCUCGAAUUCGACGUAAACAGAGGUGGAAGGUGAAGCACCACCAUGAAUGGAUAAGCUUGACGGCGAUGACUUACAUUCAGACGCAGCAAUAGAUAUAGAAAACAAAUGAUUUUAGAAAGAAGAAGCAAUAAAUAAACGGAAUAAAAGUGGCAUGAAAAAA